The sequence is a non-coding RNA, 324 nucleotides long. It matches the Rfam family "Eukaryotic large subunit ribosomal RNA", at positions 2425 to 2620 of the family's 3401-position model.
ACUCCAGUCUGGCUCUGUGCGGCGACAUCUGAGGUGUAGUAUAGGUGGAAGCGCAAGCGCAAAUGAAAUACCACCACUCGGAACGUUGCUUCACUUAUCGAAUGAAGAGACCAAUGGGAUUGGCACAGCCCUCGGGCUGCGCACCGUCUUGGUUUGGGACUUCUGGCGGGUACCCCCCGCCACCACGGGAGGGGCCAUCGCGCGCCUCUUUCCUCCGCCUUCGGGCGGGGGCCCGUGGGCACCCAACCGUGCUGCAUUCUGAUCCAACGGCGUCGCUUCGGUGGCGCCGGAGUCUUGUUUCGAGACAUCUGCCAGAUGGGGAGU